GGGGAAUUUUCCGCAAUGGGCGAAAGCCUGACGGAGCAAUCUCGCGUGAGGGAUGACGGCCUAUGGGUUGUAAACCUCUUUUUUCAGGGAGGAAGAAGUGACGUGUACCUGAAGAAUAAGCAUCGGCUAACUCCGUGCCAGCAGCCGCGGUAAGACGGAGGAUGCAAGUGUUAUCCGGAACCACUGGGCGUAAAGCGUCUGUAGGUGGUCCAGUAAGUCAACUGUUAAAUCUUGAAGCUUAACUUCAAAAUGGCAGUCGAAACUAUUAGACUAGAGUAUAGUAGGGGUAAAGGGAAUUUCCAGUGGAGCGGUGAAAUGCGUAGAGAUUGGAAAGAACACCGAUGGCGAAGGCACUUUACUGGGCUAUUACUGACACUCAGAGACGAAAGCUAGGGUAGCAAAUGGGAUUAGAUACCCCAGUAGUC
Molecule: ribosomal RNA, 425 nt
Filed under: uncultured cyanobacterium
Lineage: Bacteria; Bacillati; Cyanobacteriota
Description: bacterial SSU rRNA
Rfam family: Bacterial small subunit ribosomal RNA
Source: RNAcentral